GCGUUGGGAAGAAUUUUUUAUGUAAGAAAGAAAGACUCUCCUCCUAUCUCAUGCACGCCUCCUCUUUUAUUUUUAUCACACCAACCAGAUCUCUCACACCCCAAACCCUUCUUAAUGCCUUAAUAGAUUAAAUUCUAUUUGAUCUUGGGCAUCCAAAUCACAAAGAAGGGAUGAGAUUAGAUUAAAUUCUAUUUGAUCUUGGGCAUCCAAAUCACAAAGAAGGGAUGAGAUUAAUUGAGACA
Molecule: long non-coding RNA, 242 nt
Filed under: Elaeis guineensis (African oil palm)
Lineage: Eukaryota; Viridiplantae; Streptophyta; Magnoliopsida; Arecales; Arecaceae
Description: long non-coding RNA (EGUI_LNC060836)
Source: RNAcentral